This 490-nucleotide ribosomal RNA is filed under the name uncultured bacterium. Its description in RNAcentral is "bacterial SSU rRNA". It matches the Rfam family "Bacterial small subunit ribosomal RNA", at positions 28 to 507 of the family's 1533-position model. The record is from RNAcentral.
GAUGAACGCUAGCUACAGGCUUAACACAUGCAAGUCGAGGGGCAGCGGGAUUGAAGCUUGCUUCAAUUGCCGGCGACCGGCGCACGGGUGAGUAACGCGUAUCCAACCUUCCGUACACUCAGGGAUAGCCUUUCGAAAGAAAGAUUAAUACCUGAUGGUAUCUUAAGCACACAUGUAAUUAAGAUUAAAGAUUUAUCGGUGUACGAUGGGGAUGCGUUCCAUUAGGUAGUAGGCGGGGUAACGGCCCACCUAGCCAACGAUGGAUAGGGGUUCUGAGAGGAAGGUCCCCCACAUUGGAACUGAGACACGGUCCAAACUCCUACGGGAGGCAGCAGUGAGGAAUAUUGGUCAAUGGGCGAGAGCCUGAACCAGCCAAGUAGCGUGAAGGAUGAAGGUCCUACGGAUUGUAAACUUCUUUUAUACGGGAAUAAAGUAUCCUACGUGUAGGAUUUUGUAUGUACCGUAUGAAUAAGCAUCGGCUAACUCCGUG